UUACGAAACAAAAUUAAUUUGUCAGCCUAAGGGGUACAGGCAUGGUCAAGACUCAGCUGACAAAGUACGAGUCCCUUUCGGGGGCUUCCCCGCUAAGGGCUAGGCAGGGGGCCGGCCGUGCGCCGCUGGGCGAGAGCGGCGCACUCGUCGAGCUCGUUAGGCGGCUGUCGGCUGCCCAAGCCCCGGACCUGGGGGCUCGGGUCAGGAGUCUCGGUUAGGAAAAGGGUUUCAAUGCCUAGGCAAAACGGCUGAAGGGAACGGAUGUAACAAGGUAACCGGUCUCCGACAAGUGGAACCUCUGGACUACGCCAAUACUCAUGCUGGCCCGCACUUGCCAUGAGCCAGGAGGCCUAAAAGUACCCGGCGGCCCCCGUGUGACCUGUGGCGCGCUGUACGCCACGAGAAGGCCGGUGACCUGGGAUGGAGGCCGACUUGGCAAAGGUCCCAACCGUCCGGCAAUUCGUCUUUU
Molecule: ribosomal RNA, 469 nt
Filed under: Triticum aestivum (bread wheat)
Lineage: Eukaryota; Viridiplantae; Streptophyta; Magnoliopsida; Poales; Poaceae
Description: partial small subunit ribosomal RNA
Source: RNAcentral